UGGCACCUUCGGUGUCCGAGUUGUAAUUUGAAGAAGGUAACUUUGGAGUUGGCUCUUGUCUAUGUUCCUUGGAACAGGACGUCACAGAGGGUGAGAAUCCCGUGCGAUGAGAUGUCCAACUCUAUGUAAAGUGCUUUCGAAGAGUCGAGUUGUUUGGGAAUGCAGCUCUAAGUGGGUGGUAAAUUCCAUCUAAAGCUAAAUAUUGGCGAGAGACCGAUAGCGAACAAGUACAGUGAUGGAAAGAUGAAAAGAACUUUGAAAAGAGAGUGAAAAAGUACGUGAAAUUGUUGAAAGGGAAGGGUUUGAGAUCAGACUUGGUAUUUUGUAUGUCUUGCUUUCGGGUGGGGCCUCUGCAGUUUACUGGGCCAGCAUCGGUUUGGACGGUAGGAUAAUGACAUUGGAAUGUGGCACUACUUCGGUGGUGUGUUAUAGACUUUGUUGAUACUGCCUGUCUAGACCGAGGACUGCGU
RNAcentral lists this ribosomal RNA (470 nucleotides) under Scheffersomyces shehatae. Its description in RNAcentral is "eukaryotic LSU rRNA". It matches the Rfam family "Eukaryotic large subunit ribosomal RNA", at positions 123 to 600 of the family's 3401-position model. The record is from RNAcentral. Lineage: Eukaryota; Fungi; Ascomycota; Pichiomycetes; Serinales; Debaryomycetaceae.